AUUCCAGCUCCAAUAGCGUAUAUUAAAGUUGUUGCAGUUAAAAAGCUCGUAGUUGGAUUUGUGGUGUACUUCGGCGGCCCGUCACUAUGUGAUGGAGCUUGCUGAAGUCGCCAUCCUUGGGUGGAUCCUGUGUGGCAUUAAGUUGUCGUGCAGGGGAUGCCCAUCGUUUACUGUGAAAAAAUUAGAGUGUUCAAAGCAGGCUUAUGCCGUUGAAUAUAUUAGCAUGGAAUAAUAGGAUAGGACCUUGGUACUAUUUUGUUGGUUUGCGCACCAAGGUAAUGAUUAAUAGGGACAGUUGGGGGUAUUCGUAUUUCAUUGUCAGAGGUGAAAUUCUUGGAUUUUUGAAAGACGAACUACUGCGAAAGCAUUUACCAAGGAUGUUUUCAUCG
RNAcentral lists this ribosomal RNA (389 nucleotides) under Cylindrotheca sp. Its description in RNAcentral is "partial small subunit ribosomal RNA". It matches the Rfam family "Eukaryotic small subunit ribosomal RNA", at positions 582 to 975 of the family's 1831-position model. The record is from RNAcentral. Lineage: Eukaryota; Bacillariophyta; Bacillariophyceae; Bacillariales; Bacillariaceae.